Non-coding RNA from Clostridium autoethanogenum DSM 10061, 30 nucleotides. The record is from Rfam. Lineage: Bacteria; Bacillati; Bacillota; Clostridia; Eubacteriales; Clostridiaceae.
AUUUAAAUACAUCUCAUGUUGAGGUUCAAC